UGACAUUGGCUAAGACCCAUCCGGAAGCAACCAAGCCUUACAGAGCUGCCUCGGGGCAGGGCAGGUGGGAUACAUACAUAGGGGAGAGGCCCAUUUGUAGCUUUCCUGUCGCCUAUGGGAGAAGCUGAUGGAACUUGUAUAAAUAGUAUUUCCUGGGUUCGAAGUACCCAUCAGUUUGUUUGGUUUUUUUCCUCCCCUCUAGUCUUACACUUAGCUGAGUGGACAUGUUUUAUCCUGACUGUACCUAUGCCAAUCUGAAUGCAAAGAAAUGUAAGGAAGGGUUCACUGUUUUAUGAACCGGGAUAAAAACCAAAAGUGAAACGAAACCAAGCAAAGCCAGUAGAAGUGUUCAGAAAUCUUUUUAUUUUGUAUAACUUGACCUCCCGUGUUGCCCAUGAAUCAUCUAGAGAAAUAAAACGCAAAGCAUGGUUUCCCGAUGCCCAGUGUCCACGUGGGGGCCUUAGCACAGCUGUUUCAUUCAAACAUAAAAUGAAGUAUGUCAUAACCAUGUUUCCCUUGCAGAGCCCAUCAAAAUCUUUUACCAGAAAUGGUGAAUCAGGUGUUCUCAUGCAAAGGACAUGUGAAAACACAGACUGUAAGUUCUGAAUUCUUGGUGCCUCUGUUUAGAAAGCCCAAGUGAGAACAGUGGCUGGUCUUGACUCUGUCUUCAUCACAGGCCCCUCAGGGCUUCUAAAUACUCCGUUUUUAAAGUACGCCCUCCAUACCCCCAGGCAGCAAGGAACAGAGUGCUGUCUUACACGCAGACUUGGAGCGGACCAAUCCAUCAAAAGUUCCAUGAGUGUGUCUUAAGCGAAUUACAUCAAUGGAUUUGUUGGCACUGAGAAGAAAAAAAGGGGGGGGGGAAUACUUUCGCUUGAAGUGUUUAUUCCGCGGACUUACUUGUUUGUUUGCUGUUUGUUUAUUUAGGUCAUGCUCCCACAUAACCACCGUCUCACCCCCUUUCUAGACAAAGCCUGCCGAAUGUUCUUUCGGUGGGGACUGGCCCCCUCCUGGGCUGAUGUAAUCAAUCGGGGCAGGUAGAGGAUCAAGUCAUAUUUUCCGUGAGCUCUAGGAUACUCUUGAGGGGGCAACUUAAAGAAAGAAACGGUAUGCAUUUAGGGGGGAAGAAAGGGAAGAAAGAGUUUUUGCAACAAGUACGGCACUCGUGACUUAAAACAAAGCCAUGCUCCUGUAAAAGAGUGUUCCCGCUGAAAGCACACAUUCAGUCAUUCACCUGCCAGAGCCUCAGAUUUACUGCUGCCGUUCGCAGAUGCCAGUGCUGAAACCCUCUUCACCUGCGGACUGCUGAAUCUUCCAUUUCCUCCAUCCAAAAGUCACUGUCAAGUUGUUGUUUAGUGUCUGCAUUGUUUUUGCUUUUCCUGGCACCUAAUGAAACUAUCAGCAAUAAAUGAGCUAAG
RNAcentral lists this long non-coding RNA (1418 nucleotides) under Lynx pardinus (Iberian lynx). Lineage: Eukaryota; Metazoa; Chordata; Mammalia; Carnivora; Felidae. The record is from RNAcentral.